GACACUGUAGUGAAAGUUUCAUGUUGAGUCGCAAGCUCAUUGGUGCACGUUAAGAGUGCCGGAGUCU
RNAcentral lists this transfer RNA (67 nucleotides) under Columba livia (rock pigeon). RNAcentral describes it as "tRNA-Cys". The record is from RNAcentral. Lineage: Eukaryota; Metazoa; Chordata; Aves; Columbiformes; Columbidae.